AAAAGAGACGGUGUGCUCGUCUCUGGGCUUGAAGAAACGUUACAGUCGAUAUUAAACCGUCAACCGACGCAAGCGACUGAGCUAUGUCCACCAGUGGUGUCACCACAACAGUGCUCAGCAACACCACCGCGAGGGGAUCGGCCCUUUGCACCGACAUGCGCAACACCAUCGGAUUUGCUGCUUUCUUCCUUAAGCGACACUCGUUACCACCUGGUACUGACGGAAACGAGAACGCUCCGGUGCCAAGUUCAAGCAGCGCAUGCGAGUCAAGCACUGAUCUGGUACUUAAUCAGGUGACCGACAAACUAGUAAGUGCGUUGAGCACAAUUCUGACUACGGAGAUCGAGUAUCUAUGCCGAGUCAUUAGCAAUGGUCAAGAUAUGAAGACAUCGUGCUUUGCGAGGUUGACUCGCAAGGGUGUGCAUUUCAAUGGCGGCGAUUUUGCAUUUGUGCCAAGCUGUUGGUAAGCUAGACUCCUGUAUGCGCGGACCAUAUGUGGUUUUAGCGACGUUGUCGCAGGACAGAUAUGAACUAAAAUUAGUCGCUGGUUCUUAUGGUAAAGCUGCCGCGGAAUACAUGUUGCCCUGGCGCGGGGAAUGGACCCCUGAUGUGUGUGCCGCAUUCUUUGAGAGUGGCGCUGAUGAUGACGAUAGUCC
This is a long non-coding RNA of Pieris rapae (cabbage white), 656 nucleotides long. RefSeq lists it as uncharacterized. The record is from RefSeq and is a predicted model, not a curated record. The transcript is spliced from 3 exons. NCBI's taxonomy places the organism in Eukaryota, Metazoa, Arthropoda, Insecta, Lepidoptera, Pieridae.